This 372-nucleotide ribosomal RNA is filed under the name uncultured organism. RNAcentral's name for it is "bacterial SSU rRNA". It matches the Rfam family "Bacterial small subunit ribosomal RNA", at positions 526 to 896 of the family's 1533-position model. The record is from RNAcentral.
CGUAGGGUGCGAGCGUUAAUCGGAAUUACUGGGCGUAAAGUGUGCGCAGGCGGCCGCGCAAGUCGAGUGUGAAAGCCCCGAGCUUAACUUGGGAACUGCGCUCGAAACUACGUGGCUGGAGUGUGGCAGAGGAAGGUGGAAUUCCAGGUGUAGCGGUGAAAUGCGUAGAGAUCUGGAGGAACACCGAUGGCGAAGGCAGCCUUCUGGGCCAACACUGACGCUCAUGCACGAAAGCGUGGGGAGCAAACAGGAUUAGAUACCCUGGUAGUCCACGCCCUAAACGAUGAUGACUAGUUGUUGGAGGAGUUAAAUCCUUUAGUAACGCAGCUAACGCGUGAAGCCAUCCGCCUGGGGAGUACGGUCGCAAGAUUA